CAGUGGGGAAUAUUGGACAAUGGGCGAAAGCCUGAUCCAGCCAUGCCGCGUGUGUGAAGAAGGUCUUCGGAUUGUAAAGCACUUUAAGUUGGGAGGAAGGGCAGUUACUUAAUACGUGACUGUCUUGACGUUACCGACAGAAUAAGCACCGGCUAACUCUGUGCCAGCAGCCGCGGUAAUACAGAGGGUGCAAGCGUUAAUCGGAAUUACUGGGCGUAAAGCGCGCGUAGGUGGUUCGUUAAGUUGGAUGUGAAAUCCCCGGGCUCAACCUGGGAACUGCAUUCAAAACUGUCGAGCUAGAGUAUGGUAGAGGGUGGUGGAAUUUCCUGUGUAGCGGUGAAAUGCGUAGAUAUAGGAAGGAACACCAGUGGCGAAGGCGACCACCUGGACUGAUACUGACACUGAGGUGCGAAAGCGUGGGGAGCAAACAGGAUUA
RNAcentral lists this ribosomal RNA (436 nucleotides) under Pseudomonas fluorescens. Its description in RNAcentral is "bacterial SSU rRNA". It matches the Rfam family "Bacterial small subunit ribosomal RNA", at positions 352 to 780 of the family's 1533-position model. Lineage: Bacteria; Pseudomonadati; Pseudomonadota; Gammaproteobacteria; Pseudomonadales; Pseudomonadaceae. The record is from RNAcentral.